GUUUUUUUUCUUCUUCCAAAACUCAAUCAAUUCAUUAGAGAAAAGAACAAAAUAGGCAUUUUACUCAUAGAAAAUUAGGGGUUUUGAAGAGCAUAAGAAGUUAAUAUGCCAUCAUUACCCUUUGAAACGAUUUUACUUCCCUUGAUCCCUUAUCUGACCCCAUUUAAUACUGGUUCUUGUUCUUUUGAAACAUCAGUGAUUGGCGUGGUAAUCUUAGUUAAUAUUUCACAUUAAUUUCGUUGAAGUAAUUUUUCCCCUUUCUUUUCUCUCAAUUUCCUCUUUGUUUUUCAUCUUCUUCUAGAUUAUUCUCUUUUUUCUGAGGUUGUUAUGCUACUAGACAAAGGAAUCUCAUCUUGUUCAAAAAAUCGAAGGUUUUUGGGUUCGAUCAUGAACUGAGGUUUGCCAUUUUGGAGGUUUAGGGGGUUUGAAUUAAUUGCAGUUGUCUUAAAAAGGAACUUAUACCAUGUAUUGAAGUGAGCUAAAGGCGCCAAAGAUCCAGAAAGGCAGAAGGUUAAAUUCCCGUUACUAGACGUUUCCAGCAAGCCAAACUAUAGGCAUUUCUUGUGGGCAACUUAAAUCCCUCAUGUUGCACUGAGCUUUCUCUUACUUUUUGCUUAUCCUACUCCUAAGCUUCCAACUCCAACUUUUGAGUACCACACUGCCUUCAAUGGUGUUGCAUU
This is a non-coding RNA of Theobroma cacao (cacao), 680 nucleotides long. NCBI's taxonomy places the organism in Eukaryota, Viridiplantae, Streptophyta, Magnoliopsida, Malvales, Malvaceae. The record is from RefSeq and is a predicted model, not a curated record.